This 540-nucleotide transfer RNA is filed under the name uncultured cyanobacterium. RNAcentral's name for it is "partial 16S-23S ribosomal RNA intergenic spacer". The stretch from base 212 to 284 matches the Rfam family "tRNA". Lineage: Bacteria; Bacillati; Cyanobacteriota. The record is from RNAcentral.
CAGGGAGACAACAAAAUGUUUAAUAUUAUUAUUUUGUCACCUUAGGUCGAUCGGUAUCUCACGUUCUUAAUUUGUUAAGAAUUUCAUUUCCUAAGUUUUUCUAGGUCACACCCAUUAUUUUUCCUGGGCCAUUAGCUCAGGUGGUUAGAGCGCACCCCUGAUAAGGGUGAGGUCCCUGGUUCAAGUCCAGGAUGGCCCAUAUCUCUAUGUUGGGGGUAUAGCUCAGUUGGUAGAGCGCCUGCUUUGCAAGCAGGAUGUCAGCGGUUCGAGUCCGCUUACCUCCACUGAUUACCACCUCUUCCAUAAUCCGUAGAAAGGAAAUUUUUUGAGUUGUGAUCAAAUUCUGAACGAAUCUAGCUUCCUAAUUAAAUUAUUAAGAUGCUGGACUCAUUGAAUUAAUUUCAUUGUUUUCAGAGAACCUUGACAACUGCAUAGAUUAUUUUUAAAGACAAUAAGCAUCUUUAAUGAUGCAGAUUUAUUAUUUGUGCGAAUGCAUUAAUAACAAUUCUAUUAAGCUGAUGCUUCAAUUUUGAAGUUAUU